RNAcentral lists this ribosomal RNA (476 nucleotides) under Candidatus Scalindua brodae. Its description in RNAcentral is "bacterial SSU rRNA". It matches the Rfam family "Bacterial small subunit ribosomal RNA", at positions 365 to 832 of the family's 1533-position model. The record is from RNAcentral. Lineage: Bacteria; Pseudomonadati; Planctomycetota; Candidatus Brocadiia; Candidatus Brocadiales; Candidatus Scalinduaceae. RNAcentral also lists the same sequence under 1 other name.
UUCGCAAUGCCCGAAAGGGUGACGAAGCGACGCCGCGUGGGUGAGGAAGGCCUUCGGGUUGUAAAACCCUGUCAGGAGUUAUGAAAUGUAAGUGCGCUAAUAUCGUGCUUAUUUGACAAAGGCUCCAAAGGAAGCCACGGCUAACUCUGUGCCAGCAGCCGCGGUAAUACAGAGGUGGCGAGCGUUGUUCGGAAUUAUUGGGCGUAAAGAGCACGUAGGUGGGUUUGCAAGUCAGAUGUGAAAGCCUUCUGUUCAAAGGAAGAACGGCAUCUGAAACUGCAGAUCUUGAGUGUAGGAGGGGAGAGUGGAACUUCUGGUGGAGCGGUGAAAUGCGUAGAUAUCAGAAGGAACGUCGGCGGCGAAAGCGACUCUCUGGCCUAUUACUGACACUGAGGUGCGAAAGUUAGGGGAGCAAACGGGAUUAGAUACCCCGGUAGUCCUAACCGUAAACGAUGGGCACUAAGUAGAGGGGUUUU